RNAcentral lists this ribosomal RNA (253 nucleotides) under uncultured bacterium. RNAcentral describes it as "partial 16S ribosomal RNA". It matches the Rfam family "Bacterial small subunit ribosomal RNA", at positions 524 to 776 of the family's 1533-position model. The record is from RNAcentral.
UACGUAGGGGGCAAGCGUUGUCCGGAUUUACUGGGUGUAAAGGGUGCUCAGGUGGUUGUGUAAGUCAGGGGUGAAAUCCUGGAGCUUAACUCCGGAACUGCCCUUGAUACUACAUAGCUUGUGUACGGAAGAGGCUGAUGGAAUUCCUGGUGUAGCAGUGAAAUGCGUAGAUAUCAGGAAGAACACCAGUGGCGAAGGCGGUCAGCUGGUCCGUUACAGACACUAAAGCACGAAAGCGUGGGGAGCAAACAGG